This 1992-nucleotide ribosomal RNA is filed under the name Triticum aestivum (bread wheat). RNAcentral describes it as "partial small subunit ribosomal RNA". Lineage: Eukaryota; Viridiplantae; Streptophyta; Magnoliopsida; Poales; Poaceae. The record is from RNAcentral.
AUGUCGUCGUGGCUGCGCAGCGCGGUGAGCCGGGCGGUGGAGGCCGGCGGCCGCAGCGGCGUCGCCCGCGCCGUCAAGGGAUACGCGGACGCCGUCGCGCACCACGCGGGGCAGGCCGUCUCCGACAUCCUCCUCGACCGGGGGGGCACACAGAGCUUCAAAAGUUUCAAGAAAACAGUAAUGCGAUUAGAAGAGGCAGCAGUUUCAUGCCGUGGGGGUGAAAGAAUUGAAUUAUUAAGACGUUGGCUGGGAGCAUUACAAGACGUUGAGGCUCAACUUGCUAGUUCAGAUAGGAAGGAUCCUGAUGUUCAUGAUUCUGCUGGUGAAUUGGAUCCUUUAAAACCACCAUUGACCUUGUUUGUUGAUCCUGAUAUUGAAGGAGCACCUAUGAACUUCCGUGAUGUGUUCCUGUACAGCCAGGCACUUGAAGAUAUUACCCAAUCCAUGAUUCUUGAAGCUCCAUCUGAGGAAGAAGUUUCACUUCUUCUGGAAAUUUAUGGCCUGUGUCUCACUGGUGGGAAAGAAGUCAAUAAGGCAAUCAUGAACAAUGUACAAGACUUGGCCAAGGCUUUCUCAAAUUACAAAGACGAAGUCCUGGUGAAGCGUGAAGAGCUACUUGAAUACACGCGGAAUGUCAUUUCAGGACUUAAGAGAAAUGCUGAUAUUAUGAGGAUAGAUGCUGAAACCCUUGAAUUGUGGAGAAAAUUAGAUGGGAAGGAGAAAUCAUGGUCCCAAUCAACUGAAGGUCAAGAUAAAGCAUCAGAGAAGAUUGCUGUUGCCAAUAUCGAGGCCUUAAAAGAAGCACUUACUGAAGUCCGCUUUUGCUCUAGAGUGGAAGAACUUCUACUGAAGAAGAAAUCGAUUGCUCCUGGAGAUUCCAUGGAGAUUCAUUCUCAGAAGGUUGAUAAGUUAAAGGUCCUGUCAGAUUCCCUUUCUACUUCAUCCUCCAAAGCAGAGCAGCGUAUUAUGGACCACAGGCGUCAGAAAGAAGAUGCUCUGAACUUUCGUGUGAAAAAAGAGAAUGAGGUGAAUGCGGCUGAGAAGGGAUUGCUUGCUGAGAUUACUGAAUUGGAGAAGCAAAGAGAUGAUCUUGAGGCUCAGUUGAAAAAGGUCAAUAUAUCAAUUAAUGCUGCUGCUGUGCGGCUCAAGACAACCAGGGAAGAGAGAGACCAAUUUGAUGAAGCGAACAACCAGAUCAUAUUUAGUUUAAAAACAAAGGAGGAUGACCUCUCGAAAUCCAUUGCCACGUGUAAUGUGGAAGCAAAUGUAGUAAAGACCUGGAUCAAUUUCCUCGAGGAUACCUGGCAGCUACAGUCCUCAUAUAAUGAACAGAAGGAAAAGAAAACAAGUGAUGAAUUGGAGAGAUGUGUGAGAGAUUUUCUGAAGUUGACCAAGCAUCAUCUUUCAGCCUUCAAGGAAGUCCUAAGCCCAUCUAUUGAAAGUAUCCAAACAUAUGUGGAUAAUUUGGCGGCCUUGAACUCAAGGGAGGAGACAAGAGAGCAUGAAGAUGAUGAAGCAUCAGAGAAGACAAACCCACGUAAAUCCCUUGAGGAGGAAUAUUUGGAAACUGAAAAGAAGAUUAUCAUUGCUUUCAGCAUCGCAGACCACAUAAAGAAGUUGUUCUAUUCAGAGCAUGGGGCUAACUCCAGGAGAGAUGACCCAGAGGUCAAGAGCCUAACUGACGAGAUCGAGAAACUGAGGGAAGCAUUUGAAUCUAUAGAAAGGCCAACACUAAGCAUUGAAGACCACAAAUCAAAGCCACUCCCUGAGGAAAGAUCUGACUUGAGCCCUUCGCCUAUCCAAGCACCUGUUACCCCCAAAGCCGCGCACGUCGACUCCCCAAAAUCUCCCAUGAAGCCUGAGCAGCAGCAUCAGCUGGAUCCCGAUUCUGAAUUUGCAAACCUGGGAGCAGACUUUGGGAAGGACGGCAAAGAUUACUCAGCCGAGGAAAUCAGCGGGUGGGAGUUUGACGAGCUCGAAGAGGAGAGCUGA